RNAcentral lists this small RNA (23 nucleotides) under Arabidopsis thaliana (thale cress). RNAcentral's name for it is "Ath_wt_21016". The record is from RNAcentral. Lineage: Eukaryota; Viridiplantae; Streptophyta; Magnoliopsida; Brassicales; Brassicaceae.
GGAUGCUAACGCAAUGUGAUUUC